Ictidomys tridecemlineatus (thirteen-lined ground squirrel) is the source of this 816-nucleotide non-coding RNA. NCBI's taxonomy places the organism in Eukaryota, Metazoa, Chordata, Mammalia, Rodentia, Sciuridae. The record is from RefSeq and is a predicted model, not a curated record.
GAGCCUCUUUUUUAGCAAUGUCUGAACACAUUUCCUCUCCUGCUGAACAGCAGCCCAGCUACAAAAUCAAGAAAUUUGACAUCCAUAUGACCAAUUCAAGCUAAUUCAUUGCUGAAAAAAAAAAUCUGCUAUACAAGUCAAGAAAGAAGAAGACUGGUUUCAGGACCCCAAACAUUUAUCUAGAUGUCAGAUGCACUCCAGAAAAAUGGUGGUGUCCUUUUGGUAAAUCAGAAUGUCAGCUGAAUAUUUUUAAAAAGAAGAAGAAGGAAAAAAAAAACUCCUGGACUUUCUCUGAAAGGUUAAAAUGGUUGAAGUAAAUUUAGUCAAAGUAAAUGACAUCCAGUGAAGAAUACAAGGAAACCAUAUACAUUUAUAAAUGCUUUCACUUAAAUUCUAAACAAGCAAUUUACCAACCUAUAAUUUCAAGAGAUUGUGAAGUGAUUCUGACAAACUCUAUCAAAAAUUUGAAGUGGUAAAGAAGUGAUGGGUGGACAAAAAAAUACAGGUUGAUAAAAAUAUUAAUCUAGAAUUUCAGGCAUCUUAAUGUCACAAUCUAUGGUUAUGAGUAACCGCUUGGAAAUGAAAACUCCUCUAAGUGGCUGUUGUCCUUUUCCUGCCCUCAUGGUACCUAACCAGCUGUAGCUGACAUCAGCUUAGGAAGUAGACACAUUGCUGCACAUCAGAGGCUGUUAGAAACAUGCAUUGUCAGCCAGACAACUAGCUUGUGAUAGAAUUUUGGAAUGCAAGCUUUGUUCUCCACUCAGACAUGAAGGGGGUUUAGUCAUGAUUUUAAAGAAUUAUUUCAUUUAGCAGACU